GAAUACAGAGGUAAAGGAGGUUUGGGUAAUGAAACCUCAAGGCUCCAGUGCAAGGAUGAGGAUCCACUGCACCAUCAGAGCACAACCUGAAUGGAGGGGGCUGGGGAGAGCAAGGGCUAUGCUGGGGAGAUGGAUGCUCUAAACCAGGCAUGACCGUUCAGAACACAUUCCCUGGUCCCAAACCCUGAGCUGUGGAUGAUGCUUCCAGGCACAAGCCUGCCAAACAGGAGCUGUGCAUGGGAGUAUUUACUCCAGAGGAAGCCAGAGCCCAUUCCUACCCUUUUUUAGCAUUCAGGCACAUGGGCUGCCUGCUCAGCCAGAAGGUGGCUUGUGCUGAUAAAAAUCCAACAGCCCUCUUCAUUUGUGAUAUAUUAGUUUAUGUAUGCAAGGGCAAAGUGCUCUGUUCUGUCUGUCUGGGCUCCUUCUGCACAGGAAAAGAGAUCAGCUGGGCCAUGCCCUUACAGGGACAGUGCUGUUGUGUGCAUGUACUGGGAGUGUCUCUGUGGUAAAUGCUUUCAAAAGCCUCUGACCUACAUGUAAAGAUCUCAUUUCAUGUGGUGUAACUGAUUUCUAGGGAAUACAUGAGCCAUGCUAUUUGCUGUGAAAAAUACCAUGGCAUUUCUUUGGGAUGCUAAGGUGUCUGUUUGCACAUUUAUGUUAAACCGCAAUCUCCAUUCAGGUUUUGGAAGCACUUGGAUCAUGAAAUCAUUCUGCAUCAUCUUUAAUUUCCUAGAGUGGGCAGGAGGGAGAAAACAUUGAUAUGGGUAAAGAACCAGCAGCCAAGUUACCUGGUGCUGGGGUGCCUGGGGAAAGCCCUGCUGCCCAGGGGCUGGGACUGAGCUGCAGGUCACUGCACAGCUGCCUGGGGAGCUAAUCAGGGGUCAGUUAACGAAGGGAGCACCAGGCUGUAAGAGAAGAGUCUUGGGGUUGCUGUUUCCUUUGCUCACAGUGCACCAGGAGGGUCUGGAGGACUGGUGGAUGCAGAGUGCUGGAUCCCAAGCUGAACCUAGGCCUUGCUCUGACGUCCUUACAUGCAGCACCAACUGUGGGCAGUGACUGUGUGCCAUCUGAAGUUCGCACCAUGCAGCACCUGGAGUUUCAUGUAUGGAAGUAAUUAUUAAACAAGUUGGAUCAAAAUGCACCAGAGAAGCAAAAGCCCCAGAUACGGAGAGGGGAAAGUUGCACAUCCCUGAAGAAAACAAGCCAAGCAUGUCAGAGUCUCCAAAGUGUCACAAUGCAGCUGGUGGAGAGCUG
Long non-coding RNA from Neopsephotus bourkii (Bourke's parrot), 1254 nucleotides. RefSeq lists it as uncharacterized. The transcript has 3 exons. NCBI's taxonomy places the organism in Eukaryota, Metazoa, Chordata, Aves, Psittaciformes, Psittacidae. The record is from RefSeq and is a predicted model, not a curated record.